GUAUUUUGAAUUAUUUUAUUCAUAAUAUUUUUCAGACAAAGAGUUAAAGAAUAAGUUGAUGUUUGGUCGCUCUCAAAAAAGAGAACGACUGACAUUGCACACAAGGUGGAUAUGGAUUUAAAAAGUGCCAUAAAACACUUAUUAUGAAUGAUCCUUCCGCAGGUUCACCUACGGAAA
Molecule: unclassified non-coding RNA, 177 nt
Filed under: uncultured fungus
Lineage: Eukaryota; Fungi
Description: sequence contains ITS1
Source: RNAcentral